Patella vulgata (common limpet) is the source of this 1526-nucleotide long non-coding RNA. RefSeq lists it as uncharacterized. NCBI's taxonomy places the organism in Eukaryota, Metazoa, Mollusca, Gastropoda, Patellidae. The record is from RefSeq and is a predicted model, not a curated record. The transcript has 3 exons.
UGGAAACACCCGAAGAGUUAACCAACUUGCCCAAGAACUCAACUUCCUGCUGGAAUAGAAAGCAUUUUUGGGGCUUAAGUUUAAGAUUACGCAGACGAAUCCGCUGAAAGACAUGUUCCAAAUUUUCCAAGAUGUAUACUGGCCAAAACAAUGAGAACUCAAAAUGGUAACCAUUGCUGCGGUGUCCACUACUGCCUCUGUAUCCUUUUCAAACACAUUGAAUGGAAUAACCAAAGAUAUUCCUGGAGAUUCAAGCAAUGCAAUGGGGAAGGGUCAGUAAAAUCUUGUGCGGGGUCAUUCGGGACAGUUAGGACUGGAUCUUUGACCCAAAGCUUAGUCCUUUGGAGUUUAAAGAUGGAUUAGGUUUUGAGUCUGCAGGCAAAGGCGAUGCAGCUUCUGGGUGACUUUCAUUUGAGUUAGCUGCAUCUGGAGAAUUACGCCUUGGCCAAACGCGAUUACCCUGCGGAUAAGAUCUCUGAGGACUAUAAGGCCAAAAAUCGCGUGGGGAGGGAGAACGAGCGCGAGCAUUAUUUUGCUGAAGUAAUGUUUGGAUGUUUAAAAUGGCUUCUUUAAUGAUGGUCAUAUCCCCCUGUUGCGAAAAAGCUGUACGGAUGUCAAAGUCUGACUCCUCGAAGGCUACUUGACGGUGUGCAUAGGAGACAGUUUUCUGCCCAAAAUAGCCUUCAAGUUGGCCAGAGAAGCCUUCAUGUACUUUACGGCCUUUGGGAACUUCUCCAUGGUGGUUUUUGUAGCUUCUUUUUCCUUACAGUCACAAAUAAAUGCUUUAACAGCUAUCUGAUUAAUGGUAUCUCUGUUUGUCAUGUAGUAGCCAUCCAAGGUAAAUUUUCUACCCUUUGAGCAAACCCUUCGAGAGUCUCUGAGUCAGUUUGCCUAAUGGACUGAAGCUCCCCACGGAAAGUUACCGGGGCCUCCCGACUGGAGAACCUACGCCUCAUGUCCUUGACCAGAGUCCGGUAUUUCCGGAUACCAAGACGAUUAGCAUAUUCAAGAGCAGUUCCUCUGAGACAUAUUGUCGAACAUUUUGCGGCUAGACCAUUAACGAUGGCAUAUACGCUCAAAUUGGGCAUAGAAUGCUUCCCAAGAGGUCUUAUCGUCACCUGAGAACAGAAGCAUUUUAGGCGGAUUAGGGCUUCUCCCUCGAUGGUGGCGGUGCUGUUCUUCUUGUUCUAUUUCAGAAUCAGAGUCCGAAGAUGACCAGUCCCGAAAAGAUCUAUUCUUUGAAAAUGGGUAGGAUUCCUCACUAGAACUAGUGGAACGGUGUCGGUGUCUGGACCGCCUAGACUCAUGGUCUUUGGAAGCUGUGAAGCAUCGUCGAGGGUCUGUGAUUACGGGAGUGGAUGUAGACGGCAAGGGAGCUGCAAGAGCUUGAACCCCCACACCGCCAACAGCUCCAUAAUCCUGCAAGGAAGAACGCGGUGGUGUACGACAAUAGUCCCGGAAUUCAUUAUGCAGAUCAGUGGCCAUCUGUCUUACUACGUCCUGAAAUUUAAUAAAACUAUUUUCAA